This 252-nucleotide ribosomal RNA is filed under the name uncultured bacterium. RNAcentral describes it as "partial 16S ribosomal RNA". The record is from RNAcentral.
CUGCUGCCUCCCGUAGGAGUCUGGACCGUGUCUCAGUUCCAGUGUGGCUGGUCAUCCUCUCAGACCAGCUAGGGAUCGUCGCCUAGGUGAGCCGUUACCCCACCUACUAGCUAAUCCCAUCUGGGCACAUCCGAUGGCAAGAGGCCCGAAGGUCCCCCUNUUUGGUCUCGCGACGUUAUGCGGUAUUAGCUACCGUUUCCAGUAGUUAUCCCCCUCCAUCAGGCAGUUUCCCAGACAUUACUCACCCGUCCG